Ipomoea nil (Japanese morning glory) is the source of this 144-nucleotide long non-coding RNA. RefSeq lists it as uncharacterized. The record is from RefSeq and is a predicted model, not a curated record. The transcript is spliced from 2 exons. Lineage: Eukaryota; Viridiplantae; Streptophyta; Magnoliopsida; Solanales; Convolvulaceae.
AAAGACGGAGUCACCAAAAUCAUCGGUUGGAUCGUGCCCAUCACCACGUUCCAGGAUGAAUAACAUCACAGAAACCAAUGAUGAUGAGGCUAAAUGGCCCGAUACGGCCGUUGUACAAUUUUUGAGUAUUUUAAAUGAAAGAGU